Molecule: non-coding RNA, 105 nt
Organism: Irpex rosettiformis
Lineage: Eukaryota; Fungi; Basidiomycota; Agaricomycetes; Polyporales; Irpicaceae
Source: the annotation of a GenBank genome assembly
GGACCCCUAGCUCAGUGGUAGAGCGUAAGAUUCCAGCUUAGUAUUGCGUAUUCAUAUGUAAUAAGCGCUUCCUUAAGGUCAUCCGUUCGAUCCGGGUGGGGUUCA